CCUACGGGGUGCUGCAGUGAGGAAUAUUGGUCAAUGGACGGGAGUCUGAACCAGCCAAGUAGCGUGAAGGAUGACUGCCCUAUGUGUUGUAAACUUCUUUUAUAUGGGAAUAAAAUGUUCCACGUGUGGGCAUUUGUAUGUACCAUAUGAAUAAGGAUCGGCUAACUCCGUGCCAGCAGCCGCGGUAAUACGGAGGAUCCGAGCGUUAUCCGGAUUUUUUGGGUUUUAAGGGUGCGUAGGUGGAUUGUUAAGUCAGGUGUGAAAGUUUGGGGCUCAACCGUAAAAUUGCAGUUGAAACUGGCAGUCUUGAGUACAGUAGAGGUGGGCGGAAUUCGUGGUGUAGCGGUGAAAUGCUUAGAUAUCACGAAGAACUCCGAUUGCGAAGGCAGCACACUGGACUGCAACUGACACUGAGGCUCGAAAGUGUGGGUAUCAAACAGGAUUAGAUACCCGAGUAGUC
This 460-nucleotide ribosomal RNA is filed under the name uncultured bacterium. RNAcentral describes it as "partial 16S ribosomal RNA". It matches the Rfam family "Bacterial small subunit ribosomal RNA", at positions 338 to 795 of the family's 1533-position model. The record is from RNAcentral.